CCUACGGGAGGCAGCAGUGGGGAAUAUUGGGCAAUGGGCGCAAGCCUGACCCAGCAACGCCGCGUGAAGGAAGAAGGCUUUCGGGUUGUAAACUUCCUUUAUCAGGGACGAAGCAAGUGACGGUACCUGCUGAAUAAGCCACUGCUAACUAUGUGCAAGCAGCCGCUGCAAUACGUAGGAGGCAAGCGUUAUCCGGAUUCACUGGGUGUAAAGGGCGUGUAGGCGGGAGUGCAAGUCAGAUGUGAAAACUAUGGGUUCAACGCAUCGCCUGCAUUUGAUUCUGUACUGCUUGAGUGCUGGGGAGGCAGGCGGAAUGCCGGGUGUAGCGGUGAAAUGCGUAGAUAUACGAAAGAACACCGGUGGCGAAGGCGGAUUGCUAGACAAUAGCUGACGCUGAGGCGCGAAAGCGUGGGGAGCAAACAGGAUUAGAUACCCCAGUAGUC
Molecule: ribosomal RNA, 443 nt
Filed under: uncultured bacterium
Lineage: Bacteria
Description: partial 16S ribosomal RNA
Rfam family: Bacterial small subunit ribosomal RNA
Source: RNAcentral